CUUCCUUCUUUUCUUUUUCUCUUUUCCUUCCCAGUUGCUCUGGUUUCCGAAAUUAUCUCCAUCCUGCGCACCUGCUCCCCAUGUUCCUGUAGUUAUACUCGGUUCUUCACUUGAAGAUUUCCCUCACCACUCCUGAUUCACUCCGAUUUUUCUCCCUCUUACUCAUACCGGUUCAUCCUUGCGGGAGCUGCAUUGCUCUCCUUCACUCCGUGUGUCCUCAAAAACUCAUCGCUGCUGACUUGGGUUCCACGACAGUGAGUCAUCUCUCUCCCCCUUCCUUUGUUUCUCUUUGCCUCUUAGAUAGUUUGGUGAAUUUUUUCCUUUGGGUUUUGGCACCUUACUGUCGCCGUCAAGUUCUCCCUAGAGUUUUCUUUCCGGUAACCAUCCCUCUCAUUCACUGGUUUCACAUUUAAUUUUUACUUCGACCCCCUGCUUUUGUACACACGCAAACCCUGUCUUUUACUUUGUGCUGCUUUGAUUUUUUUUCACACACACACCCACUCUGUUUUGGUUGCAGUGCACACACUCACACCCUUCAUCCUUCCUUGCACAGACCAUCGUCUAUUUCCACUAGAGAUUCUAGUGAAUUUUGGGCUUAAUUUACAGUGGGUUGCUUCGAUUGAGGAGGUGCAAAGCUUUUGUGUUUCAUUUAAGUGGUGUUUCUACUAGAGUUCCGACUCAAAGCGUAGAUAAUACAUGGAAGUCAGGUUGCUGUCAACACUGUAAUUCAAGAUGACAAAUAUUUCCUUGAUCACAUUAUCAAAUCAACCAACAAGAAGUGCCUCAUGGCACCAUAAGUUAUAUCUUCUUACUAUCAGCCAAUUUGAUGUCUAUGCCAUAUCCAGGUCUCAGGGCAACUAGUUAUGAUUUCCAAAAAACGUUGGGCAUAGAAAUUACUCAAUUGAAUUGCUUGCUAUGGUGUCACUAGUUGUGGCUUUGCAUGGAGCACAUCCCAAUAGUCUUUGAGUAUUAUGACA
Molecule: long non-coding RNA, 977 nt
Organism: Juglans regia (Persian walnut)
Lineage: Eukaryota; Viridiplantae; Streptophyta; Magnoliopsida; Fagales; Juglandaceae
Exons: 3
Source: RefSeq, a predicted model, not a curated record